CGGGGGGGGCAAGCGUUGUUCGGAAUUACUGGGCGUAAAGGGCUCGUAGGUGGCCAACUAAGUCAGACGUGAAAUCCCCAGGCUCAACUUGGGAACUGCGUCUGAUACUGGAUGGCUUGAAUUCGGGAGAGGGAUGCAGAAUUCCAGGUGUAGCGGUGAAAUGCGUAGAUAUCUGGAGGAAUACCGGUGGCGAAGGCGGCAUCCUGGACCGAUAUUGACACUGAUGAGCGAAAGCCAGGGGAGCAAACGGGAUUAGAUACCCCGGUAGUCCUGGCCCUAAACGAUGAAUGCUUGGUGUGACGGGUAUCGAUCCCUGUCGUGCCGAAGCUAACGCAUUAAGCAUUCCGCCUGGGGAGUACGGUCGCAAGGCUG
This 372-nucleotide ribosomal RNA is filed under the name uncultured organism. Its description in RNAcentral is "bacterial SSU rRNA". It matches the Rfam family "Bacterial small subunit ribosomal RNA", at positions 526 to 896 of the family's 1533-position model. The record is from RNAcentral.